CCCACUUUCUUCAAAAAAUAAAUAUCUAGAGAGAGGUAUGGGAGUGAACGUCUGUAACGAGAAUGAUUAGUAAAGAUGAGUUCUUGGAUUCCCAAAGCUUGAGAUAGAGAAGUUGCUGUACAAUCUUCGGAGAAUUGUAUUUGAAAAGAUGAGGAAAAAGGCGAGGGUGGUGCUAGAGUUUCACGACGGUGAUGACAGUGGCUCAGGCAUCGCUGAAAUUUUGUUGAGAAGAGAGGGAACGCAACAGCGAGACCAAAGAUUUGAAUGAGGGUUGGGGCGGCCGAGUUCCGGCAAGGACGACGGUGGCAGCAACCCGUUUGAAGGAGCUGCUCGAUGGCGAGCUCACUGGACUGUAGUGACAGCGGAGUUCGCGACAUCAGCGGCAAUGAUCGACGGAGGAGAAACUUCUCUGAUCGAACAACAACGAGCAGCAGCAGCGCAGCAGGCUGUCCCGGCGGUCUCAGCGGCUGCAGCGGGGCGGCAACGAUUCCGACAGCGGCGCGGAGGAGAGGCAAAGGCGGACAACAACUGAUCCUUGACCGUGGCGGCGGUGAUCGAUUAAAGGCGGUGUAUCGGUGGCCGAAAGAGAAGGCGGUGCGGCGAACUCACCUCCGUGACUACCACGGCAGAGGUACUGCAAAUUUCAGUGAAAGGAAGAUGAGCGCAACGGAGUCCAACGUCGAGAGUUUGAGAGAAAGAGAGAAAGAAAAGAGGAAGAGGAAUGGAGGCACCGUCAAUUUCCCUCAAGUAGGAUUCUGUUUGGAAAAAAGGAUGAAAGGAAAGGGACGAUGGAGUAUUUUAUGAGGGAAUUAAAGUUUGGGCCGGAGUACAUUAAAUCAAUGGAUGAUUUCACGCACGCUUUUCAAGAACGAAAUGGAGCACAAGUUAAAGCUUUAAACGAAUGAGGUUGAGCGGGAUGUUGCGGUGGAUGUUGAGUCGGCCUAGGAAAUGUUG
Long non-coding RNA from Salvia splendens (bonfire salvia), 954 nucleotides. RefSeq lists it as uncharacterized. The transcript has 3 exons. Lineage: Eukaryota; Viridiplantae; Streptophyta; Magnoliopsida; Lamiales; Lamiaceae. The record is from RefSeq and is a predicted model, not a curated record.